GUCUACAGCCAUACCACCCUGAACGCGCCCGAUCUCGUCUGAUCUCAGAAGCUAAGCAGGGUCGGGCCUGGGUAGUACUUGGAUGGGAGAGAGCAACCUGAGCUGAGUACC
This 111-nucleotide ribosomal RNA is filed under the name Camelus bactrianus (Bactrian camel). The record is from RNAcentral. RNAcentral also lists the same sequence under 2 other names. Lineage: Eukaryota; Metazoa; Chordata; Mammalia; Artiodactyla; Camelidae.